CCUACGGGUGGCUGCAGUGGGGAAUAUUGGACAAUGGGCGAAAGCCUGAUCCAGCCAUGCCGCGUGUGUGAAGAAGGCCUUCGGGUUGUAAAGCACUUUCAGUGGGGAAGAAAGCCUUGGGGCUAAUACCCUCGAGGAAGGACAUCACCCACAGAAGAAGCACCGGCUAACUCCGUGCCAGCAGCCGCGGUAAUACGGAGGGUGCGAGCGUUAAUCGAAAUUACUGGGCGUAAAGCGCGCGUAGGCGGUCUGAUAAGCCGGUUGUGAAAGCCCCGGGCUCAACCUGGGAACGGCAUCCGGAACUGUCAGGCUAGAGUGCAGGAGAGGAAGGUAGAAUUCCCGGUGUAGCGGUGAAAUGCGUAGAGAUCGGGAGGAAUACCAGUGGCGAAGGCGGCCUUCUGGACUGACACUGACGCUGAGGUGCGAAAGCGUGGGUAGCAAACAGGAUUAGAUACCCCGGUAGUC
Molecule: ribosomal RNA, 465 nt
Filed under: Vreelandella stevensii
Lineage: Bacteria; Pseudomonadati; Pseudomonadota; Gammaproteobacteria; Oceanospirillales; Halomonadaceae
Description: partial 16S ribosomal RNA
Rfam family: Bacterial small subunit ribosomal RNA
Source: RNAcentral